GGGGAGUGAAAUAGAACCUGAAACCGUGUGCUUACAAGUAGUCAGAGCCCGUUAAUGGGUGAUGGCGUGCCUUUUGUAGAAUGAACCGGCGAGUUACGAUUUGAUGCAAGGUUAAGCAGUAAAUGUGGAGCCGUAGCGAAAGCGAGUCUGAAUAGGGCGUUUAGUAUUUGGUCGUAGACCCGAAACCAGGUGAUCUACCCUUGGUCAGGUUGAAGUUCAGGUAACACUGAAUGGAGGACCGAACCGACUUACGUUGAAAAGUGAGCGGAUGAACUGAGGGUAGCGGAGAAAUUCCAAUCGAACCUGGAGAUAGCUGGUUCUCUCCGAAAUAGCUUUAGGGCUAGCCUCAAGUGAUGAUUAUUGGAGGUAGAGCACUGUUUGGACGAGGGGCCCCUCUCGGGUUACCGAAUUCAGACAAACUCCGAAUGCCAAUUAAUUUAACUUGGGAGUCAGAACAUGGGUGAUAAGGUCCGUGUUCGAAAGGGAAACAGCCCAGACCACCAGCUAAGGUCCCAAAAUAUAUGUUAAGUGGAAAAGGAUGUGGCGUUGCCCAGACAACUAGGAUGUUGGCUUAGAAGCAGCCAUCAUUUAAAGAGUGCGUAAUAGCUCACUAGUCGAGUGACACUGCGCCGAAAAUGUACCGGGGCUAAACAUAUUACCGAAGCUGUGGAUUGUCCUUUGGACAAUGGUAGGAGAGCGUUCUAAGGGCGUUGAAGCAUGAUCGUAAGGACAUGUGGAGCGCUUAGAAGUGAGAAUGCCGGUGUGAGUAGCGAAAGACGGGUGAGAAUCCCGUCCACCGAUUGACUAAGGUUUCCAGAGGAAGGCUCGUCCGCUCUGGGUUAGUCGGGUCCUAAGCUGAGGCCGACAGGCGUAGGCGAUGGAUAACAGGUUGAUAUUCCUGUACCACCUAUAAUCGUUUUAAUCGAUGGGGGGACGCAGUAGGAUAGGCGAAGCGUGCGAUUGGAUUGCACGUCUAAGCAGUAAGGCUGAGUAUUAGGCAAAUCCGGUACUCAUUAAGGCUGAGCUGUGAUGGGGAGAAGACAUUGUGUCUUCGAGUCGUUGAUUUCACACUGCCGAGAAAAGCCUCUAGAUAGAAAAUAGGUGCCCGUACCGCAAACCGACACAGGUAGUCAAGAU
Molecule: ribosomal RNA, 1137 nt
Filed under: Staphylococcus aureus
Lineage: Bacteria; Bacillati; Bacillota; Bacilli; Caryophanales; Staphylococcaceae
Description: partial 23S ribosomal RNA
Rfam family: Bacterial large subunit ribosomal RNA
Source: RNAcentral